RNAcentral lists this ribosomal RNA (253 nucleotides) under uncultured bacterium. RNAcentral describes it as "partial 16S ribosomal RNA". It matches the Rfam family "Bacterial small subunit ribosomal RNA", at positions 57 to 305 of the family's 1533-position model. The record is from RNAcentral.
GCAAGUCGAAGGAGAAGGUAAUUGCUUGCAAUUACAGGAGACUGGCGGCGGGUGCGUAACGCGUAGAUAACCUGCCUUUGCCUGGGGGAUAACACUGGGAAACUGGUGCUAAUACCGCAUAAUGCAGCGGGGCCGCAUGGCCAUAGUUGUUAAAGGUUUCGGCCGGGUAAAGAUGGGUCUGCGUGCUAUUAGCUAGUUGGUAAGGUAACGGCUUACCAAGGCGAUGAUAGCUAGGGGGUCUGAGAGGAUGAUC